GCCCUCAGGAUGAUGAUGAACUUGUUAAAUACAUUAUUACUGGACUAGAUCAUGGUCUCAACACAAUUGUGUCUUCAGUUCUAAUUAGAACGAAUUCAAUCUUAGUGAGUGAAUUGUAUUCACAGAUGCUUGUCUUUGAGU
Molecule: non-coding RNA, 141 nt
Organism: Zea mays
Lineage: Eukaryota; Viridiplantae; Streptophyta; Magnoliopsida; Poales; Poaceae
Source: Rfam